AGUGAACGCUGGCGGUAGGCCUAACACAUGCCAGUCGAACGGCAGCACAGUAAGAGCUUGCUCUUACGGGUGGCGAGUGGCGGACGGGUGAGGAAUACAUCGGAAUCUACUUUUUCGUGGGGGAUAACGUAGGGAAACUACGCUAAUAACGCAAUAGACCUAACGGGGAAAGCAAGGGGUUCUCGGAACUUUCGCGGUUGAAUGAGGCGAUGUCGGAUUAGCUAGUUGGCGGGGUAAAGGCCCACCAAGGCGACGAUCCGUAGCUGGUCUGAGAGGAUGAUCAGCCACACUGGAACUGAGACACGGUCCAGACUCCUACGGGAGGCAGCAGUGGGGAAUAUUGGACAAUGGGCGCAAGCCUGAUCCAGCCAUACCGCGUGGGUGAAGAAGGCCUUCGGGUUGUAAAGCCCUUUUGUUGGGAAAGAAAAGCAGCAGGUUAAUACCCCGCUGUUCUGACGGUACCCAAAGAAUAAGCACCGGCUAACUUCGUG
This 491-nucleotide ribosomal RNA is filed under the name uncultured bacterium. RNAcentral describes it as "partial 16S ribosomal RNA". It matches the Rfam family "Bacterial small subunit ribosomal RNA", at positions 29 to 507 of the family's 1533-position model. The record is from RNAcentral.